GGGGCUGUAGCUCAGUGGUCCAGUGCUUGCCUCGCAUGCAUGAGGCCCUGGGUUCAAUCCUCAGCACCA
This 69-nucleotide transfer RNA is filed under the name Ictidomys tridecemlineatus (thirteen-lined ground squirrel). Its description in RNAcentral is "Spermophilus tridecemlineatus (thirteen-lined ground squirrel) tRNA". It matches the Rfam family "tRNA". From Rfam's summary of the family: Transfer RNA (tRNA) molecules are approximately 80 nucleotides in length. Lineage: Eukaryota; Metazoa; Chordata; Mammalia; Rodentia; Sciuridae. The record is from Rfam by way of RNAcentral.